This 406-nucleotide ribosomal RNA is filed under the name uncultured bacterium. Its description in RNAcentral is "partial 16S ribosomal RNA". It matches the Rfam family "Bacterial small subunit ribosomal RNA", at positions 360 to 773 of the family's 1533-position model. The record is from RNAcentral.
AAUAUUGCACAAUGGGGGAAACUCUGACGCAGCGACGCCGCGUGAGCGAUGAAGGUCUUCGGAUCGUAAAGCCCUGUCCUUGGGGAAGAAGGUCUUCGGACUUUACGUUACCUACGGUGGAUACCCCGGCUAACUACGUGCCAGCAGCCGCGGUAAUACGUAGGGGGCAAGCGUUGGCCGGAAUUAUUGGGCGUAAAGGGGGCGUAGGCGGCCGUUUAAGUCAGAUGUGAAAGCCCACGGCUUAACCGUGGGACUGCAUUUGAAACUGGAGGGCUUGAGUAUCGGAGAGGGUAGUGGAAUUCCCAGUGUAGCGGUGGAAUGCGUAGAUAUUGGGAGGAACACCAGUGGCGAAGGCGACUACCUGGACGAAAACUGACGCUGAGGCACGAAAGCUAGGGGAGCAAGC